RNAcentral lists this ribosomal RNA (252 nucleotides) under uncultured bacterium. Its description in RNAcentral is "partial 16S ribosomal RNA". It matches the Rfam family "Bacterial small subunit ribosomal RNA", at positions 524 to 776 of the family's 1533-position model. The record is from RNAcentral.
UACGGGGGAGCAAGCGUUGUUCGGAUUUACUGGGCGUAAAGGGUGCGUAGGCGGCGCGGUAAGUCGGGUGUGAAAUCUUGGAGCUUAACUCCGAAACUGCAUUCGAUACUGCCGUGCUUGAGGACUGGAGAGGAGACUGGAAUUUACGGUGUAGCGGUGAAAUGCGUAGAUAUCGUAAGGAAGACCAGUGGCGAAGGCGGGUCUCUGGACAGUUCCUGACGCUGAAGCACGAAGGCCAGGGGAGCAAACGGG